RNAcentral lists this microRNA precursor (65 nucleotides) under Loxodonta africana (African savanna elephant). RNAcentral's name for it is "mir-33 microRNA precursor family". It matches the Rfam family "mir-33 microRNA precursor family". Lineage: Eukaryota; Metazoa; Chordata; Mammalia; Proboscidea; Elephantidae. RNAcentral also lists the same sequence under 1 other name. The record is from Rfam by way of RNAcentral.
CCGAGGUGCAUUGCUGUUGCAUUGCACGUGUGUGGCGGGUGCAGUGCCUCAGCAGUGCAGCCCGG